Schistosoma rodhaini is the source of this 45-nucleotide non-coding RNA. The record is from Rfam. Lineage: Eukaryota; Metazoa; Platyhelminthes; Trematoda; Strigeidida; Schistosomatidae.
AUCCAGUUGACGAGUCCAGAAUAAGAUGAAUCGCGCGUCCUGGAU